CGUAUACUAUUCAUUUUUAUCGGGUCCUAUUCGGAUCCGGAUAGGGUCCGGGUAGGGUCCGAGUCGGGUAUGGUAUAUCAGAUAUUUUGGACAGCUUUAUAUAUACCAGAAUGUAAUAGCAAAAGGGACAUGAACGAAAUUGGUAUUACUUUCUUCCUAAUUCUCCUGUCGCUCUUCUUUCCCCCCUGCUCUGCCUUCUCCCUCUCAAUCUCCUCUUCCCCAAUCUCUCUCAACCUAUUCCUAUCCUCUUCCCUCUUCUAUCCAGCAAUCUUUAACUCCCAACCGGACACCAUCAUCCUUCCUGCCGUCCUCGUCUCAGCGACAUCUCAUCAUCAAUGGGUUGCAAGUCC
RNAcentral lists this long non-coding RNA (350 nucleotides) under Ananas comosus (pineapple). Its description in RNAcentral is "long non-coding RNA (ACOM_LNC000840)". The record is from RNAcentral. Lineage: Eukaryota; Viridiplantae; Streptophyta; Magnoliopsida; Poales; Bromeliaceae.